RNAcentral lists this ribosomal RNA (539 nucleotides) under uncultured bacterium. Its description in RNAcentral is "partial 16S ribosomal RNA". It matches the Rfam family "Bacterial small subunit ribosomal RNA", at positions 355 to 909 of the family's 1533-position model. The record is from RNAcentral.
UGGGGAAUAUUGCACAAUGGGCGAAAGCCUGAUGCAGCAACGCCGCGUGAGUGAUGAAGGCCUUCGGGUUGUAAAGCUCUGUCUUUUGGGACGAUAAUGACGGUACCAAAGGAGGAAGCCACGGCUAACUACGUGCCAGCAGCCGCGGUAAUACGUAGGUGGCAAGCGUUGUCCGGAUUUACUGGGCGUAAAGGAUGCGUAGGCGGAUUUUUAAGUGAGAUGUGAAAACCCUAAGCUUAACUUGGGGACUGCAUUUCAUACUGGAAAUCUAGAGUGCGGGAGAGGAGAAUGGAAUUCCUAGUGUAGCGGUGAAAUGCGUAGAGAUUAGGAAGAACACCAGUGGCGAAGGCGAUUCUCUGGACCGUAACUGACGCUGAGGCAUGAAAGCGUGGGUAGCAAAACAGGAUUAGAUACCCUGGUAGUCCACGCCGUAAACGAUGAGUACUAGGUGUAGGAGGUAUCGACCCCUUCUGUGCCGCAGUUAACACAAUAAGUACUCCGCCUGGGAAGUACGAUCGCAAGAUUAAAACUCAAAGGAA